RNAcentral lists this ribosomal RNA (405 nucleotides) under uncultured Lachnospiraceae bacterium. RNAcentral describes it as "bacterial SSU rRNA". It matches the Rfam family "Bacterial small subunit ribosomal RNA", at positions 971 to 1382 of the family's 1533-position model. Lineage: Bacteria; Bacillati; Bacillota; Clostridia; Lachnospirales; Lachnospiraceae. The record is from RNAcentral.
UUACCAGGCUUGACAUCCCUGACCGCGUAUGAAAGUACGUUUUCACCCUCGGGUGACAGGGAGACAGGUGGUGCAUGGUUGUCGUCAGCUCGUGUCGUGAGAUGUUGGGUUAAGUCCCGCAACGAGCGCAACCCUUGUCAUUAGUUGCUACCGCAAGGAGCACUCUAAUGAGACUGCCGGUGACAAACCGGAGGAAGUGGGAUGACGUCAAAUCAUCAUGCCCCUUAUGACCUGGGCUACACACGUGCUACAAUGGUUGGUACAACGAGUUGCGAGUCGGUGACGGCGAGCUAAUCUCUUAAAGCCAAUCUCAGUUCGGAUUGUAGGCUGCAACUCGCCUACAUGAAGUCGGAAUCGCUAGUAAUCGCGGAUCAGCACGCCGCGGUGAAUACGUUCCCGGGCCUU